This 349-nucleotide long non-coding RNA is filed under the name Mytilus galloprovincialis (Mediterranean mussel). The record is from RNAcentral. Lineage: Eukaryota; Metazoa; Mollusca; Bivalvia; Mytilida; Mytilidae.
AAAAUAAAAGGCCAGAGGUUCCUUGCUACAAGUUAGGACAGGCGCAAAAUUGCUGUAAUGUAAACUUUUAAGAUAACCACUUCGUCAGUAGGGGGUCGUCUUGGCCUUGUAAGUUAUUUUUUUUUGAAAAUCAUGCAGCGACUGUCAAGAUGAAGUACUUAAAUAAAUCACUAUGUUCUUGCAAUAAUUUGCAUCUUGUCUAUUUGUCAAGAGUGUUCAAAUUGGAAAAAUGAAUGUUACUAGUACUAAGGAAAUGACAUAUUUCAUUGAUCUUCAAUCAAUCACAUGCAUGGCGACAAUUUGUUUUUCAAGGGAACGAGUUCAAUUCAACCACUAUAAAGAACCCUUA